UGAUUAUAUAGUUUGUUUCUUAGUUGCUCUUCUUAUAUAUUUGUGGCUAUGAGUUACUAUUUUCUAUGGCAAAAAUAUCAUGUCCUCUAAAUAUAUGAUUUUAGAAUGAAGCAAAUUAUAUAAGUUACUAAAUAGUUAUUUUUUUAUUCAAAAUCUGAACAGUUAUGGAUCCAUAUAUGUGAUAUAGAUUAGCAUCACAAGAUUGUAGUGAAUAAUAUACAGAUAUAUUGACAAAUGACAAUAGUGAGAAGAAAACUCGAGGUCCUACACAAAUGCGUGAAAUCUGGGGAAACCGUGAUGGUAGGAAGAUAAAAAUCACAUGUAAUGAUUUAGGACAGCCCCAUGACAAAAAUGCAGACAUGCUUUCAAGCUUUAUUUCAUUAGUAAGAGAUGGAAAAAAUGCUCCAAUUAAUUAUAAAAAUUGGCAUAAGGUACCCGUUAAAUACAAAUGUGGAAUGUGAAAAAUCUUACACGUAUUAAUCAUUAUUUAAUUUAGAAGUUUAAAUUACACAUUUAUCUAUUUUUCAAUAUGUAUCAUCUUUUAUCAUUACUUAAAUUUGUUAAUAAUCAAUGUUUUAUUGUUGUAGGAAAAAUUUGAGAUUCCUCUCGAUGCUAAGAUUUGAACUUUCAGAAUGUUUGGUAAGAAACUUAGAGAGUGGAAAUGUUUCUUAAAAACACUUAUUAUUUGGAGCACUUAUCAUUUGAGGAGCAAAAAAAGUAUAAAGAUAAGAGUGUAUGAUGAUCAAUAGGAAGAACUGAUCAAGUAUUGAGCUACAGAAAAAGCAAAGAGCAAAAGUGCUUAAAAAAAGAGUAGUUGUGCAAAAAAACAAUAUAAUCAUACAACUGGCAGAAAGAGUUUCACACAACUUAAAACAUUACAGAAAGCGGGUGGUGCGAGUACACCAACACGUGUAACUAUGUUCAAAAUUUGUUAUGCAAAAAGAAAGAAGAGUGUUAUAAACGAGAAGACAAAAGAGGCUAUGGUAUGAUCAUCCAAAUAUUUUUAAAUUAUGUAUUAUUUCAUGCUAGCUAGUUUAAUCUUAUUUUAAUUGAUAUGUUUACAAUGUUAAAUUAAUGAUAGUUACAAUUACAAGAAAAAGAAGAACGGAAUGAAGAUGCAUCGAAAGAAAAAAGUAUGAAUGAUGUAUUUUUUGAAGUGAUGGGCAGAGAAAAACAUGGAUCAAUGCACAUGUUUGGAUUCGGUGUCUGCCCGUUAGAUGAAUGGAAAGAUAAAUCAACUUGGAAAAGAAAUCAAAAUAAGUAUGUAGAUGCUCUAGAGUCAAAAGUAGAUGAUUUAGAAUCUCAAGUUGAAAAUCUUAAGGCUAUAUUGAACAACCAAAACAAUGGCAAUGACAUACCUACUGCACAGGCCUUACAACUUGGUGACAAUGCCACAUCUUCAAAUCUUGUUUAGUUUUAUUUUAUUUUGUUAUUUUUUAAUUUACUAACCUAUCAAUUAUAUAUUUAUUUUGUUAAAAUUUAUCCUAUGUAUAGGACAUAAAUGCUACUACCUCACUUAAUAAAGAAACUCGAUGCCAACUUUAGUUUUCAUCUUCAGCAUAUGAUACUCCCGUAG
This is a long non-coding RNA of Cannabis sativa, 1576 nucleotides long. RefSeq lists it as uncharacterized. The transcript is spliced from 4 exons. Lineage: Eukaryota; Viridiplantae; Streptophyta; Magnoliopsida; Rosales; Cannabaceae. The record is from RefSeq and is a predicted model, not a curated record.